This 1726-nucleotide long non-coding RNA is filed under the name Homo sapiens (human). Its description in RNAcentral is "HSALNT0136533". Lineage: Eukaryota; Metazoa; Chordata; Mammalia; Primates; Hominidae. The record is from RNAcentral.
GGCCUGGUCACAGCAGGUUACGAUGCACUGUGUCAUCCGGCACACCAGGCAAUUUCCUUUUUGAGUCACUUUUCAGCUAAGAAUGAAUCAUGCUCCACCCUCCUUUUCAGCCCUUUAUGCUUGCCGGCUCUGCAGCCAAGAUGGGAGGGAGGCCAUUUCCUCUCUGCUGAGAGCAGGUCAGCAAGGAAGCUCCUGAGAGUGCAGCCCUUUCCCUGCUGGGCGGAAUCUGCAGGAGAAUGCCUGGUCCCCUUGUAAGGUGGCCCCUCCAGGAGCGGGGUGGCCAGCCCCAGAGCCUUCUACCACCUGGAGGCAAACCCUGAACCUGGAAAGUGAGAGGCGGGGCCAGGCCAUUUGCUAGUAGAGAAAUGUAGGAAAGUUCCUUUUCUGUGUGUGUUUUCUCUUGACUUUAAAAAAUCAUAAGCUUGCCCAUGGAGCUUUUGUGAGAGGAGAGAUUUGACCAGCUCUGUGCCUGCCCCCUGGGUCCUUAGCUGGUCGCUUUGUGCUUUGUCACUAGAAAAGGAAGAUGUAUCUAAAUCACUAUCACUAGAUUUGGCCAAUGGAAUUUUUGAAAACGUUUUCCAUUUUCUCAUGGUUUUGAAAAGUCUAUACUUACCAAGAAUUUGGCUUUAAGUUGUUGUUUUGUUGUUGGCAACUUUCUUUUGUUCUCUGUUUCGUUUAUCAACCUAUAGAAACAGGUCAAAAAUUAAAUGACUCCUUAUACAAGGCAAUUAAAGACAUGAAUGUGGGUGACGGACUCUGAGCAGAGAGCCUUUGCGAUUCUCUGGCAGGAAGGAAGAAGCCGCGGGUGUGGCGGAGAUGCAGAUGCUUCGCAUCUGUGACUGCUUGCAGAGUCCUUCCUUUGAGCCAUUGCCCCCUGCUGUUAUUUUGCCACCUCAUCCAAGAUGCCAAGAACUCUCAGGACAAGGCUCAAGAUAAAAACAAAAGAUCAGAGCUGAGCACACUCUCACACACAGGCACACACAUGAGUGUGCACAGGAUUCCGAAGCCUCCAGGAUUGACUCUGAAGCAUGCAGGCAGAGGUGUGUUUGUAUGGGGAGGUACGGAUGUUGAACUGAGCAGCACCUCCUUUCUUGUGAUCUGGCCAUUUGUCUUGAAAGAACCAAGAAGAGACAGGCCUGAAUCCCGGAGCCAUCAGAGGACCCCAAGCAGCAGGGGCUUGCUGGUGGAACAAAGGGCCUUCUGACAUGUGUGAGGGCUGUGUUUUGUCGACUAGGUAUCACAUUCCAGCCACAGCAUGACAGACAAAUGUCAGGCCAGAUGAGGAGAUGCAAUCUGCUCGACCAAAUGCAUCUUUACCUGGCUCAUGUGAUGGGAGCAGAUGCUGACUCAAUACGGGUGCAGGUGCAGAAAAAAAAAGGAGGAAAGCCCAGACACUGAGGCAUAGUGCUGUGAAAGCCCAGAGCCUCCAGGGAGGCUCACUUUUCCACAUUAUUGAUCCAAACUUCUAUGUGUCAUAGAUCUUGUCUGUGCUAUACCUUGUUGAAGCUUUCUGGCAGAGGAAGCCUGAGGGAAUCUUUGACAUCUGGAAACUGAAGGCCAUUAUACAAAUACCAGUCUUUCUACUCCCCUCCUUGUGAGAUGGACCUGAAGAGUCUCCCAUCAUUUGUGGCUGCCACAUCCAUCCUUGAUGAUAGGACUGUAUUUAUGCUGCUGGGUGUCUUUGGAAGGGUGCUAAGGGGAGACUGCCUCAGUUAGGCAGGGCUGG